GUCUAUGGCUAUGCUACCCUGAACAAGCCCGAUCCCGUCUGAUCUCGGAAGCUAAGCAGGGUCAGGCCUGGUUAGUACUUGGAUGGGAGAUCACCUAGGAAUACCAGGUGCUGUAGGUG
This 119-nucleotide ribosomal RNA is filed under the name Pteropus alecto (black flying fox). The record is from RNAcentral. Lineage: Eukaryota; Metazoa; Chordata; Mammalia; Chiroptera; Pteropodidae.